AUACAGAAGGUGUGGCCCGUGCUUUCUACAUGCAUAUUUAACUAUCUAAAAUUAUUUGUCCUUAAUGUUAUUAUUAAAGAAUAACCUCCUGGAGAGGAAGAAUUACACAGCAAAAUGAGGCCUAAAGCAUUUCUUCAAAUAAAGAGCUGAGAAGAAGAGAAGGAAAAGCCUGGGUUACUCACGAUUCUUUUCACCUCUCCACCUUGACCCCGCUUUUAUUCUAGGCGCGAUGUCCGCAGCAGCCGUUACGGCUACUAGCCCAAGCAGCAGCAGCAGCAGUGACAGCACAGCCAUGCCAGCAGACACUUUAAACCCAUCAGGAAGUAAAUGAAAGAAAAACUGAUCCAUAAACAUGUGACAGAGAAGGGGUUUUGUUUUUGUUGGUAAGAAUGCAAAAAUUCAUAUGGAAACUGUAACCUAUAAAAAUGAAGUCUGUGGAAUUAUGCAGUGUGACAGCCUGCCUCGGCCUUGCAACUAAAGUACUACAGUCUUCUCAAAUCGAAGACUUAACAUUAACAAAAAUAAAGACCAGGAGUAUCACGAAAGAGCAGUUGGCUGUUGAAGAGGAGGGUUAUCUCUUUUCUGGGACCUGCUGAUCGACAUGUUUGUGUUCAAGCAUGAACUUCUGGCUGGAUCUCCACUCUUCCAUCAACAACUGUAUGGGACCAGUGCUCACGAG
Long non-coding RNA from Columba livia (rock pigeon), 679 nucleotides. RefSeq lists it as uncharacterized. Lineage: Eukaryota; Metazoa; Chordata; Aves; Columbiformes; Columbidae. The record is from RefSeq and is a predicted model, not a curated record. The transcript is spliced from 4 exons.